UAAGGAAUAUUGGUCAAUGGACGCAAUUCUGAACCAGCCAUGCCGCGUGAAGGAUGAAGGUCCUCUGGAUUGUAAACUUCUUUUAUCUGGGACGAAAACGGGAUUUUUAUCUCAAUUGACGGUACCAGAGGAAUAAGCACCGGCUAACUCCGUGCCAGCAGCCGCGGUAAUACGGAGGGUGCGAGCGUUAUCCGGAUUUACUGGGUUUAAAGGGUGCGUAGGUGGGCUUAUAAGUCAGUGGUGAAAUCUCCGAGCUUAACUUGGAAACUGCCGUUGAUACUAUAGGUCUUGAAUUAUCUGGAGGUAAGCGGAAUAUGUCAUGUAGCGGUGAAAUGCUUAGAUGUGACAUAGAACACCAAUUGCGAAGGCAGCUUACUACAUAUAAAUUGACGCUGAGGCACGAAAGCGUGGGGAUCAAACA
Molecule: ribosomal RNA, 421 nt
Filed under: uncultured bacterium
Lineage: Bacteria
Description: bacterial SSU rRNA
Rfam family: Bacterial small subunit ribosomal RNA
Source: RNAcentral